GGGUCAGUAGGUUGGUCGUGCCACCGGUACGUACUGGUCUCACUGAUUCCUCCUUCCUGAAGAACCGUAAUGCCACUAAUUUGGUGUUGCGGGGAAACAGGACUGUUACUUUGAAAAAAUUAGAGUGUUUAAAGCAAGCUAACGCUUGAAUACGUUAGCAUGGAAUAAUGAAAUAGGACGAUCGAUCCUAUUUUGUUGGUUUCUAGGAUUGACGUA
RNAcentral lists this ribosomal RNA (216 nucleotides) under Glomeromycotina sp. Its description in RNAcentral is "partial small subunit ribosomal RNA". The stretch from base 87 to 216 matches the Rfam family "Eukaryotic small subunit ribosomal RNA", at positions 733 to 864 of the family's 1831-position model. The record is from RNAcentral. Lineage: Eukaryota; Fungi; Glomeromycota.